Molecule: ribosomal RNA, 251 nt
Filed under: uncultured Bacillota bacterium
Lineage: Bacteria; Bacillati; Bacillota
Description: uncultured Firmicutes bacterium partial 16S ribosomal RNA
Rfam family: Bacterial small subunit ribosomal RNA
Source: RNAcentral
ACUAGAUCGGCAUCGAACUAGUAUUAAAAGGAGCGAAUGCUCCGCUACUGGAUGGACUCGCGGUGCAUUAGCUAGUUGGUGAGGUAGAGGCUCACCAAGGCGAUGAUGCAUAGCCGACCUGAGAGGGUGAACGGCCACAUUGGGACUGAGACACGGCCCAGACUCCUACGGGAGGCAGCAGUAGGGAAUUUUCGUCAAUGGGGGAAACCCUGAACGAGCAAUGCCGCGUGAGUGAAGAAGGAUUUCGGUCU